GGGGUGACGAAUGUGGAACGAGCGGCGAACGGGUGAGUAACACGUAGGAAGGCCAGAGGCUCGGGAUAACUCCGGGAAACCGGGGCUAAACCGGAAAGGCAUCAUCAUCUCCUGAUGGUGAUGUAAAAGACGGUUUCGGCCGUCACUUACAGAUGGGCCUGCUGCGCAUUAGCUAGUUGGUGAGGUAAGGGCUCACCAAGGCGACGAUGCGUAGCCGACCUGAGAGGGUGAUCGGCCACACUGGGACUGAGACACGGCCCAGACUCCUACGGGAGGCAGCAGUAGGGAAUCUUCCGCAAUGGACGCAAGUCUGACGGAGCAACGCCGCGUGAGUGAUGAAGGUUUUCGGAUCGUAAAACUCUGUUGUGAGGGAAGAACAAGGAUAGGUUUUGACUUUUUUGUCCCUUGACGGUACCUCACCAGAAAGCCACGGCUAACUACGUGCCAGCAGCCGCGGUAAUACGUAGGGGGCGAGCGUUGUCCGGAUUUACUGGGCGUAAAGGGUGAGUAGGCGGUUGUAUAUGUCAGGUGUAAAAGACUAUGGCUUAACCAUAGUUAGCACUUGAAACUGUAUGACUUGAGUGCAGGAGAGGUAAGUGGAAUUCCUAGUGUAGCGGUGAAAUGCGUAGAUAUUAGGAGGAACACCAGUGGCGAAGGCGAUUUACUGGACUGUAACUGACGCUGAGUCACGAAAGCGUGGGUAGCAAACAGGAUUAGAUACCCUGGUAGUCCACGCUGUAAACGAUGAGUGCUAGGUGUUGGCCAGCGAUGGUCAGUGCCGCAGUAAACGCAUUAAGCACUCCGCCUGGGGAGUACGUACGCAAGUAUGAAACUCAAAGGAAUUGACGGGGACCCGCACAAGCAGCGGAGCAUGUGGUUUAAUUCGAAGCAACGCGAAGAACCUUACCAAGGCUUGACAUCCCCUUGACAGGUGCAGAGAUGUACCCUCCUCUUCGGAGGCAAGGGUGACAGGUGGUGCAUGGUUGUCGUCAGCUCGUGUCGUGAGAUGUUGGGUAAAGUCCCGCAACGAGCGCAACCCUUAUCCUUAGUUGCCAGCAGGUAAUGCUGGGCACUCUAGGGAGACUGCCGGUGAUAAACCGGAGGAAGGUGGGGAUGACGUCAAAUCAUCAUGCCCCUUAUGUCUUGGGCUACACACGUGCUACAAUGGUCGGUACAACGGGGAGCUAAGGAGCGAUCUGGAGCAAAUCCCAAUAAACCGAUCCCAGUUCGGGAUUGUAGGCUGCAACUCGCCUACAUGAAGUCGGAGUUGC
RNAcentral lists this ribosomal RNA (1271 nucleotides) under uncultured bacterium. RNAcentral describes it as "bacterial SSU rRNA". It matches the Rfam family "Bacterial small subunit ribosomal RNA", at positions 74 to 1335 of the family's 1533-position model. The record is from RNAcentral.